Molecule: transfer RNA, 78 nt
Filed under: Streptomyces xantholiticus
Lineage: Bacteria; Bacillati; Actinomycetota; Actinomycetes; Kitasatosporales; Streptomycetaceae
Description: tRNA-Arg
Source: RNAcentral
GCCCGCUCGGGUCCCGGCCGGGCAGGUCGCCUCCUGGGUGGGCAGCCACUGCCGCGGAUCGCCUCCCCGGGGUGGGCA